Long non-coding RNA from Astyanax mexicanus (Mexican tetra), 255 nucleotides. RefSeq lists it as uncharacterized. The transcript has 3 exons. The record is from RefSeq and is a predicted model, not a curated record. Lineage: Eukaryota; Metazoa; Chordata; Actinopteri; Characiformes; Acestrorhamphidae.
AGGACAUUACAGAGGAUACAAACGAAAACACAGAUACAAUGACUGGACCUGGAGAGAAGUCUGAACUGGAACACCUUGGAAACAUGGAAAACAAAAUCAUCCAUGACAUGCCAAAAGUCCACAAAUGGGUGAAAGACCACGCAAAGCUGUUCAAUUCUGCUGUUAUUGCACCACAGUUUCUUACAAUGGAAAAGGAAGAAGCUGAAUCUGCACUGGAGCAGUUGAAUUCCCUCAGCAUUGAGACAGAUCCUGACA